UUGAUAAUACACCCUACAGCGCCGAACUACCACUCUCAUCAGGUAUUUCUAUACCCAUGUCUACCAGCCCCUGAAUUUUCUGCUAUUUUACACUUUGCUUUGCAGUUCAGUUUUCUGAAUCUUCUUUGUGUACGUGUAAUGACAAAAAUAUUUGGCAUUGUGG
Molecule: long non-coding RNA, 163 nt
Organism: Bufo bufo (common toad)
Lineage: Eukaryota; Metazoa; Chordata; Amphibia; Anura; Bufonidae
Exons: 3
Source: RefSeq, a predicted model, not a curated record